Molecule: long non-coding RNA, 296 nt
Filed under: Homo sapiens (human)
Lineage: Eukaryota; Metazoa; Chordata; Mammalia; Primates; Hominidae
Description: HSALNT0157430
Source: RNAcentral
AGGUCAUGUUUUACUUGUGAGCUUCAAAGAGCUUGAGACUUUGGACUCUGACUUCAGGUAAUCAAUCACCAAGAAAUGCCACAGUGUCCCAUAGAUCUUCAUUGACUUAAACAUCCACUGGCUUUUCCCAUGUGCCGGGACUCACAACAGAGACAGAGCAGCUGAGUCUGUGCCAUGAGCAGGUGCGGGCCCAUUCAACUGUGUGUGUCCCUCACUUGAGGGGCACUUGGGCAGAGGUUGGCCUGCGAUCAUAACCAGGAAGAGAGGAUUCUUCUUUGGGUUGGAUGAGUAAUAAA